Long non-coding RNA from Cercocebus atys (sooty mangabey), 311 nucleotides. RefSeq lists it as uncharacterized. The transcript is spliced from 4 exons. Lineage: Eukaryota; Metazoa; Chordata; Mammalia; Primates; Cercopithecidae. The record is from RefSeq and is a predicted model, not a curated record.
AGGCUGGAGUGCAGUGGCGUGAUCUUGGCUCAUGGCAACCUCAACCUCCUGAGCCCAAGUGAUCCUCCCAUCUGGAGGAGGAAAUUUUGCCUGGACCUCCUCAACUGUUCUCCUGGCCUGCAGGCUCCUGCUAAUGUGACUCUGGCCAUGGCCGUGUUCACCAUCCUGACUUCCAUCUACUUCUUCAACAAAGCUCAGCAGUGAGAAGACCCAGGACCUCCCCACCCAAAAGCCCUGCCUCUGCCCGGACCAUCGCUCUGAGGCCGAAUAAAUAUGGAAUCUCGCUCUGUCGCCCAGGCUGGAGUGCAGUG